RNAcentral lists this ribosomal RNA (492 nucleotides) under uncultured bacterium. RNAcentral describes it as "partial 16S ribosomal RNA". It matches the Rfam family "Bacterial small subunit ribosomal RNA", at positions 29 to 507 of the family's 1533-position model. The record is from RNAcentral.
AGUGAACGCUGGCGGUAGGCCCAACACAUGCAAGUCGAACGGCAGCACAGUAAGAGCUUGCUCUUACGGGUGGCGAGUGGCGGACGGGUGAGGAAUACAUCGGAAUCUACUUUUUCGUGGGGGAUAACGUAGGGAAACUUACGCUAAUACCGCAUACGACCUACGGGUGAAAGCAGGGGAUCUUCGGACCUUGCGCGAUUGGAUGAGCCGAUGUCGGAUUAGCUAGUUGGCGGGGUAAAGGCCCACCAAGGCGACGAUCCGUAGCUGGUCUGAGAGGAUGAUCAGCCACACUGGAACUGAGACACGGUCCAGACUCCUACGGGAGGCAGCAGUGGGGAAUAUUGGACAAUGGGCGCAAGCCUGAUCCAGCCAUACCGCGUGGGUGAAGAAGGCCUUCGGGUUGUAAAGCCCUUUUGUUGGGAAAGAAAAGCAGCAGGUUAAUACCCCGCUGUUCUGACGGUACCCAAAGAAUAAGCACCGGCUAACUUCGUG